AGGUCAGAGGCUAUGCAGGCCCUCGAACGCCGGGUGAUUCCCAAGCUUGUAGCGCGGGUUCGAUUCCCGUCAUCCGCUCCA
Molecule: transfer RNA, 81 nt
Filed under: Streptomyces cinereoruber
Lineage: Bacteria; Bacillati; Actinomycetota; Actinomycetes; Kitasatosporales; Streptomycetaceae
Description: tRNA-Gly
Source: RNAcentral